UAUAACGUGACCGUGACCCAC
RNAcentral lists this unclassified non-coding RNA (21 nucleotides) under Mus musculus (house mouse). Its description in RNAcentral is "oocyte_clustered_small_RNA3559". The record is from RNAcentral. Lineage: Eukaryota; Metazoa; Chordata; Mammalia; Rodentia; Muridae.